UUCUGCCACCGAAUACAUUAGCAUGGGAUAAUGGAAUAGGACCCUGUCCUCCUAUUUUCAGUUGGUUUUGGCAGCGCGAGGACUAGGGUAAUGAUUAAUAGGGAUAGUUGGGGGCAUUAAUAUUUAAUUGUCAGAGGUGAAAUUCUUGGAUUUAUGAAAGAUUAACUUCUGCGAAAGCAUCUGCCAAGGAUGUUUUCAUUAAUCAAGAACGAAAGUUAGGGGAUCGAAGACGAUCAGAUACCGUCGUAGUCUUAACCAUAAACGAUGCCGACCAGCGAUUAGGAGACGUUGAAUACAAAACACCACCAUCGGUGCGGUCGUCCUUGGCGUCGGUCUUUCGGGGCCGGCGCGGGGACGGCUUAGCCCGGUGGCACCGGUGAAUGACUCCCUAGCACUUUGUGAGA
RNAcentral lists this ribosomal RNA (404 nucleotides) under Acanthamoeba sp. RNAcentral describes it as "SSU rRNA". It matches the Rfam family "Eukaryotic small subunit ribosomal RNA", at positions 787 to 1095 of the family's 1831-position model. The record is from RNAcentral. Lineage: Eukaryota; Discosea; Longamoebia; Acanthamoebidae.